GGGCGAUUGGCGCAGCGGUAGCGCAGCUGCUUUACACGCAGAAGGUCAGCGGUUCAAAUCCGUUAUCGCCCACCA
This 75-nucleotide transfer RNA is filed under the name Coriobacteriales bacterium. RNAcentral describes it as "tRNA-Val". It matches the Rfam family "tRNA". From Rfam's summary of the family: Transfer RNA (tRNA) molecules are approximately 80 nucleotides in length. Their secondary structure includes four short double-helical elements and three loops (D, anti-codon, and T loops). The record is from RNAcentral. Lineage: Bacteria; Bacillati; Actinomycetota; Coriobacteriia; Coriobacteriales.